UUCCCUUCUUCUAAUGUUUGUUUAUUGUUUUAUUGUUUACCUUUUGUUCAAAUUAAAUCGUAUAGACUGACUGAAGCCAACAAUUUACUACUCACAAACAACGUUCGUAAGACCAUGAUUUAUAAUCAGAGACUGUGGCAGAGAAAUUGAUGAUUGCAUCCGAAUGCCAGAUCUUGUCACUACUUGGAUUUAUAAAAGAUCUUCUUUGUGUGACAAUGUUUAUAAAUGAAAUACCAAGAAGUGGGGAGGGAUUCUAGUAUCCCAAUGAAGAAGAACGACCUCAAACAUGGAGAGGGUAAACUCUGGUAAAAGACAAUAGGAAUGUUCCAAGUAUAACAGAGGUAUCACUCAGCCCUGAACAGGGAUAUAAUAAGCCAAACUCCUGCUCAUAAGGGACAACCUUUGGAAUUUACCCAGUGUGUUCUCUUGCAGCAUUUGAAGUUUGAAGACCCAUAAAAUGACUCGCUCAGUUAAUUCGCUUAAAUGUGGUACUUGUAGUAAAGUUUUUACCCGUAAAGAUAACCUGAAACGCCAUGAAAAAUAUGGACAUGAUUUCCAGGAGCAUAUAAAGACACUUAAAUGUGCUAUGUGUAGUAAAUUUUUUUCUCGUAAGGAUACACUGAAAUCCCACGAAGCGGAGCAUAGGGUUGAGAACAACAAAUCUGAACAAUAUGAGUGUGGUACUUGUGCUAAAGUUUUUGCUCGUAAAUAUAACCUGAAACGCCACGAAGAACUGAUACAUAAUGUCCAGGUGCAUUUAAAGACGCUAAAAUGUGCUAUUUGUGGUAAGGAGUUUUCUUGUAGUGAUAACCUGAAACGCCACCAAGAGUGGCACAGGGAACAUAGGGGAGAGAACAACCGAUCUGGACGGUAUGAGUGUGGUACUUGUGGUAAAGUUUUUUUUUGUAAGGAUGCACUAAAAUGCCACAAAGCCAUGCAUAUUGUUGAGAACAACAGUUCUAAACAAUAUGAGUGUGGUACUUGUGGUAAAGAUUUUUGUAGUGACUAUAACCUAAAACGCCACGAAGAGAUUGCACAUACAGUCCAGGGGGAAAUAUAUGAAUGUGCGGAAUGCUGUAAAUCAUUUACACGUAAGAACAAUUUGCUUAGGCACAUUAAUCUAAUCCAUUUAGGCCUAGCUUCUCAACCUCACAAGUGUCCUAAAUGUAAAAGAAGUUUUAAACGUCUUGAUGGUCUGAAACAACAUGCAAAAAUGGUAUGCUUCACCAUACUAUAAAACCAUAGGCUACAGAUAAUAGUGUCAUAUCAUAAGGAAAAUUUAGUUGAAAGUUCCAAGGUUGGAUAAUUUGUCUUGCUGAAUUUAAUUGCUUUUUAAAAUUUAUUGAAAUUUAUACGUAGUCAAAUGCUGCAGUUCAUUGCAAUUACAUAUUUACAUGUAUAGUUAAUUUAAAUAUGUAGAAGAGGUUAACUUGAAGAUUUGAAAGUAAGGUUCGCAGGUUUGCAAUCGUGAUACUGCUGCACAUGCCCAUGUCAUGUCCGCUUCCAGACCAACCCGCCUAAAGAACGGGAAGUUUGUCAGAUAAAGUUACAAGCAGAUAAAGUUUGUACAUGUUUUACAUUUUUUAUUUUUUUUUUGCUAGGAAUAGUUAUCCUAUUGACAUUUAAUGUAAAUUCCAUAGGCUAACAAAAAAUGACAGGUGUACCUAAAAGUUUUUACUUUUAGCAGCCUUCGAGUUAAUACUUUUCAUUUGUUAACGACACUUAUUUAAAAAAGUUAAUAAUCUAAUCAAUAGUUUUUCGUUUUUCUAUUUCACAAAACUCUUAAUACUAUUAAAGAGUGAAUACUAAAUGUAAAGGUUUACAUGUCUGAAGAAUAAGACUUUUAUUAAUACAGUAGAACCUUGAUAACAAGACUCUCAUGGGGAUUAUAAAAUAAGACUUGUUAUCAAGGUUGACUUCUUAUCGAGGUUUGUAAUAACAUGUGAUCGGGGUAAAAUAAUUUUAAGGGGAUUUGAAAAUGACACUUGUUAUCAAGGGUGAGUUGUUAUCGAGGGUCUUCUUUUCAAGGUUCCACUAUAGUUCAUUUAAAUUAACAACAUGUGUAGACAUUGAAGUAGGCUUUGCUGUUUGUAUUGAUUUUGUAAUUUAAUUCUUACAUAAAAGAAUUUAGUGUGUUUGUAAUUUUUAGUAAAAAUUUUUUUACAUUUAAAUUAUUUUAGUAAAAAUGUUUUUGUAAGUUUUAGAUGUAAAAUGAUUAGUGUGUUCGAGAAUGAAGAGACAUUUUUAAAGCUGUUUAUUUUUGUAAUGUAAUCAACUACGGGCAAUAUGAAUUUUUGUUUGUAAUACAAGUUGGUUUUGUAGCAACUUUGAAGGACAUGUUAUAAGUUAAAGGUAUCUACUCCAAUCCAAAGCACAAGUAAAGCUACUAACAUUAAAUUUAAUAUGUGUCAAGAAAUAUUUUGUGUUGUUAAAAUGCCGUAAGAAACUAAAUUAACCAGUGGAAUCAGAACAUUUUUAUGGUAGUAUAUUAUUUACAUUGUAUGAUAA
Molecule: long non-coding RNA, 2508 nt
Organism: Macrosteles quadrilineatus (aster leafhopper)
Lineage: Eukaryota; Metazoa; Arthropoda; Insecta; Hemiptera; Cicadellidae
Exons: 3
Source: RefSeq, a predicted model, not a curated record